UACGUAGGGGGCGAGCGUUGUCCGGAGUUACUGGGCGUAAAGGGUCUGUAGGCGGUCGGCCAAGUAGGAGGUGACAGGGCUCGGCUUAACUGAGCCAGGUUCUACUAAACUGGUCGACUUGAGGACUUCAGAGGGACACGGAAUUCCGGGUGGAGUGGUGAAAUGCGUAGAUAUCCGGAGGAACACCAAAGGCGCAGGCAGUGUCCUGGGGAGUGACUGACGCUGAGGGACGAAAGCUAGGGGAGCGAACGGG
RNAcentral lists this ribosomal RNA (253 nucleotides) under uncultured Ktedonobacter sp. RNAcentral's name for it is "partial 16S ribosomal RNA". It matches the Rfam family "Bacterial small subunit ribosomal RNA", at positions 524 to 776 of the family's 1533-position model. The record is from RNAcentral. Lineage: Bacteria; Bacillati; Chloroflexota; Ktedonobacteria; Ktedonobacterales; Ktedonobacteraceae.